This 220-nucleotide unclassified non-coding RNA is filed under the name plant metagenome. RNAcentral's name for it is "partial contains small subunit ribosomal RNA, internal transcribed spacer 1, and 5.8S ribosomal RNA". The record is from RNAcentral.
UUUCCGUAGGUGAACCUGCGGAAGGAUCAUUACAGAGUUCAUGCCCUCACGGGUAGAUCUCCCACCCUUGAAUAUUUAUACCUUAGUUGCUUUGGCAGGCCGCGGAAACACCAUGGGCUCCGGCUUAUGCGUGCCUGCCAGAGGAAACAAACUCUGUUUUUAGUGAUGUCUGAGUACUAUAUAAUAGUUAAAACUCUCAACAACGGAUCUCUUGGUUCUG